RNAcentral lists this unclassified non-coding RNA (402 nucleotides) under soil metagenome. RNAcentral describes it as "partial contains 5.8S ribosomal RNA, internal transcribed spacer 2, and large subunit ribosomal RNA". The stretch from base 1 to 121 matches the Rfam family "5.8S ribosomal RNA", at positions 35 to 154 of the family's 154-position model. The record is from RNAcentral.
GAUGAAGAACGUAGCGAAAUGCGAUAAGUAGUGUGAAUUGCAGAAUUCAGUGAAUCAUCGAAUCUUUGAACGCACCUUGCGCCCUUUGGCUAUUCCGAAGGGCAUGCCUGUUUGAGUAUCAUGAACACCUCAACUCUCAUGGUUUGCCAUGAUGAGCUUGGACUCUGGGGGUCUUGCUGGCCUAUGGUCAGCUCCUCUCAAAUAAAUCAGCUUGCCAGUGUUUGGUGGCAUCACAGGUGUGAUAACUAUCUACGCUUGUGGUUUUCCAUCAGGUAACCUUCAGUGAUGGAGGUUCGCUGGAGCUCAUAAAUGUCCCUCCUCAGCGAGGACAGCUUUUUGAACGUUUGAUCUCAAAUCAGGUAGGACUACCCGCUGAACUUAAGCAUAUCAAUAAGCGGAGGA